Molecule: long non-coding RNA, 378 nt
Organism: Centruroides sculpturatus (bark scorpion)
Lineage: Eukaryota; Metazoa; Arthropoda; Arachnida; Scorpiones; Buthidae
Exons: 3
Source: RefSeq, a predicted model, not a curated record
CUUGAAAAACGUUUUUCUAAAAGUUUUAUUCUUUACCGUACUAUAUUUACUUAACUGAAAAAGCUAUUUUGGCAAAAAACAUGUAGGGUAAACAUUGGCAAUUUCGUGAUACUUUUUAAAUCCAUCUUCAUCAAAUAACAAAAUAUCCAUAUUGUAAAAAAGAAAAAAAAAUGGAAAAUUUAUAGAAGAGUUGAAAUAGACUAGUUUCAUCUUGUAUUUACAAGCAAACAAAAUGUUGAUGAUAAAGGAUUUUUCGAGCAGAAAAGUAACAGAAAAAGAGCUUAUAUGAAAAAUCUGACAAACGGUUUAAAAAAAUUGUAUGGCAGAAGAGUGUUUCUAAUGACAUACAGCAAUACUCAAAAAGAAAAAUUAGUGGGA